Molecule: small nucleolar RNA, 110 nt
Filed under: Ochotona princeps (American pika)
Lineage: Eukaryota; Metazoa; Chordata; Mammalia; Lagomorpha; Ochotonidae
Description: Small nucleolar RNA SNORA74 (ENSOPRG00000023222.1)
Source: RNAcentral
CCCAGCUGUAGGCAACUGCCUAGGUUGCCUUGUACCUAGGCAAAUGUUGUGCUGCUGGGAGAAAAGUAGACAAGACUGGUGGGUAUUCUCGGACUAGUUAAUGCCAAAUU